UACGUAGGGUGCAAGCGUUGUCCGGAAUUAUUGGGCGUAAAGAGCUCGUAGGCGGUUUGUCGCGUCGAAUGUGAAAACCCGGGGCUCAACCCCGGGCCUGCAUUCGAUACGGGCAGACUAGAGUUCGGUAGGGGAGUCUGGAAUUCCUGGUGUAGCGGUGAAAUGCGUAGAUAUCAGGAGGAACACCGGUGGCGAAGGCGGGACUCUGGGCCGAUACUGACGCUGAGGAGCGAAAGCGUGGGGAGCAAACAGG
This 253-nucleotide ribosomal RNA is filed under the name uncultured bacterium. Its description in RNAcentral is "partial 16S ribosomal RNA". It matches the Rfam family "Bacterial small subunit ribosomal RNA", at positions 524 to 776 of the family's 1533-position model. The record is from RNAcentral.